GAGUYYGAUCAUGGCUCAGAKUGAACGCUGGCGGCAGGCCUAGCACAUGCAAGUCGAGCGGUAGAGAGAAGCYYGCUYCUCUUGAGAGCGGCGGACGGGUGAGUAAUGCCUAGGAAUCUGCCUAGUGGUGGGGGAWWAMSKUYSGRAAMSGGACGCUAAUACCGCAUACGUCCUACGGGAGAAAGCGGGGGACCUUCGGGCCUCGCGCCAUUAGAUGAGCCUAGGUCGGAUUAGCUAGUUGGUGAGGUAAUGGCUCACCAAGGCGACGAUCCGUAACUGGUCUGAGAGGAUGAUCAGUCACACUGGAACUGAGACACGGUCCAGACUCCUACGGGAGGCAGCAGUGGGGAAUAUUGGACAAUGGGCGAAAGCCUGAUCCAGCCAUGCCGCGUGUGUGAAGAAGGUCUUCGGAUUGUAAAGCACUUUAAGUUGGGAGGAAGGGUAGUAACUUAAUACGUUGCUACUUUGACGUUACCGACAGAAUAAGCACCGGCUAACUUCGUGCCAGCAGCCGCGGUAAUACA
RNAcentral lists this ribosomal RNA (524 nucleotides) under uncultured Pseudomonas sp. Its description in RNAcentral is "partial 16S ribosomal RNA". It matches the Rfam family "Bacterial small subunit ribosomal RNA", at positions 9 to 527 of the family's 1533-position model. The record is from RNAcentral. Lineage: Bacteria; Pseudomonadati; Pseudomonadota; Gammaproteobacteria; Pseudomonadales; Pseudomonadaceae.